This 424-nucleotide ribosomal RNA is filed under the name uncultured bacterium. RNAcentral's name for it is "bacterial SSU rRNA". It matches the Rfam family "Bacterial small subunit ribosomal RNA", at positions 355 to 776 of the family's 1533-position model. The record is from RNAcentral.
UGAGGAAUAUUGGGCAAUGGAGGCAACUCUGACCCAGCCAUGCCGCGUGCAGGAAGACUGCCCUAUGGGCUGUAAACUGCUUUUAUACAGGAAGAAACACUGCUACGUGUAGCAGCUUGACGGUACUGUAAGAAUAAGGACCGGCUAACUCCGUGCCAGCAGCCGCGGUAAUACGGAGGGUCCGAGCGUUAUCCGGAAUCAUUGGGUUUAAAGGGUCCGCAGGCGGUCAAUUAAGUCAGAGGUGAAAUCCCAUAGCUUAACUAUGGAACUGCCUUUGAUACUGGUUGACUUGAGUCAUAUGGAAGUAGAUAGAAUGUGUAGUGUAGCGGUGAAAUGCAUAGAUAUUACACAGAAUACCGAUUGCGAAGGCAGUCUACUACGUAUGUACUGACGCUCAUGGACGAAAGCGCGGGGAGCGAACAGG